AAUAAUGAAUCAUUUUUCCUUCUACCUUUCAAUCUCAUGUUACAACCGUACAACUGCAUUGAUACUACAGGCAGUAGAAAUUGCACUGCUAUUACACAAACAAUCAGGAAAUUCUGGGCAGUAAACUCCUACACCAGGAAGCAACCAAUCCAAAACCGAUACGACCUGCUUCCGUUGCCAUACUCAAUUCUCCACAGAUCAGAAACAAGCUAUAGGAUUCAAACAGGUAGAAAAGCUUGGUCUAAACUGAAGGAGUAGGUUUCAUCCCUCUUUCUCUGUUAUCAAUGUGUUGACAAUAGGUUUCAUCCCUCUUUGAAGCAUUUCAUCAGACAACUUCUCUGCUUGAUUGAGUUAACCACAAAAUUUCAAACAACUAAACAUAAAUGUUGUAUUAAGAGCCAUUGCAAAUGCAUCUAUCACAAUCUUUGUGCCCAUUUCUCUGAUUGCGUCACUUACAGACUCAUGGCUAUUGACAAGUGACAACUACAUCCAUGGAAGCAACAAUCAUGGCUUGUUUCACAGUUGUUACAGAGCAGGACAUCUCUAACCCCGGACACGG
Molecule: long non-coding RNA, 559 nt
Filed under: Trifolium pratense (red clover)
Lineage: Eukaryota; Viridiplantae; Streptophyta; Magnoliopsida; Fabales; Fabaceae
Description: long non-coding RNA (TPRA_LNC005087)
Source: RNAcentral